CCUACGGGGGGCAGCAGUGGGGAAUAUUGCACAAUGGGGGAAACCCUGAUGCAGCGACGCCGCGUGAGCGAGGAAGUAUUUCGGUAUGUAAAGCUCUAUCAGCAGGGACGAAAAAAGACGGUACCUGACUAAGAAGCCCCGGCUAACUACGUGCCAGCAGCCGCGGUAAUACGUAGGGGGCAAGCGUUAUCCGGAUUUACUGGGUUUAAAGGGAGCGUAGACGGCAAGGCAAGCCAGAAGUGAAAGGUCAGGGCUCAACCCUGUACAUGCUUUUGGAACUGUGGUGCUAGAGUGCAGGAGAGGUAAGUGGAAUUCCUAGUGGAGCGGUGAAAUGCGUAGAUAUUAGGAGGAACACCAGUGGCGAAGGCAGCUUACUGGACUGUAACUGACGUUGAGGCUCGAAAGCGUGGGGAGCAAACAGGAUUAGAUACCCUGGUAGUC
This 441-nucleotide ribosomal RNA is filed under the name uncultured bacterium. RNAcentral describes it as "partial 16S ribosomal RNA". It matches the Rfam family "Bacterial small subunit ribosomal RNA", at positions 338 to 795 of the family's 1533-position model. The record is from RNAcentral.